Rattus norvegicus (Norway rat) is the source of this 3574-nucleotide long non-coding RNA. RefSeq lists it as uncharacterized. The record is from RefSeq and is a predicted model, not a curated record. Lineage: Eukaryota; Metazoa; Chordata; Mammalia; Rodentia; Muridae.
UUUCUUUUUUUCUCACUGAUGAGAACUGAACCCAGGUAUCCAGAUAAAUAAAGUGGGGGCUCUGUUGAUGACCCACAUAUCAGCUUCUGUCCAUUUUUGAAAUGUGUUAUUUGUAAUUUUCUUAUAGAGGAGAGGUGUUUUUCUCUACAACCUAGGAACCAAUUCCUCAUCAGGUGCAUGAUUUGGAUGGGUUUGUAGACCCAUAAGAACAACAAUACCAACCAACCAGAGUUCCCAGGGACUUAACCACCAUCCAAAGAGACAGACCCAUGGCUCCAGCUGCAUAUGUAGCAGAGGAUGGCCUUUUUGGGCACCAAAUGGGAGGAGAAGCCCUUGGUCCUGCCAAGGCUGGAUGCCCCAGUGCAGGGUAAUGUCAGGGCAAAGAGUGGGAAGGGGUGGGUGGAUGGGUCAGGGAACACCCUCAUAAAAGAAGGGGGAGGGGGUGGGAUAGGGGUUUAUAGAUGUGAAACCGGGAAAGGGGAUAGCAUUUGAAAUGUAAAUAAAUUUUUUAAAUCCAAUAAAAAUAUUAAUAUUUAGAAAGAAAGAAAAUCCUUUUACCAGUUUGGUGGGCUAUCUUUUCACUCUAGUGACAACUCAGAGAUGCACAUAAGUUUUUAAUUUAAUAAUGUCCAAUUUAUUUCCUUGUCUCAAACUGUCUGUGUGUUGACUACUGCAGCCCAAAAACCAAAAUAUAAUUCCCUUAAGUCUUUUGAAAACACAAUGAAGAUUUUCCUGUGUGUCUUCCCCAAAAGGUUCACUGUUUCAGCUUGUGGUCUACCUUUGUGAUUUAUUUUGAGCCUGCUGUUAUACUGUGUAAGGUAAGGACUCAACGCUCUUUUGUAUACACCUCCACUCAGAGAUCUGGGUGUCUCACUGUCCCAGCACCAUCUGUUGAAAAUACCAACUUUUCCCCAUGACUACCUGCUCUGGUUUGAAUGUUAACUGUCGCUUACAGGUUUGUGUGUUUGAACCUUCAGCCCCCAGCUGGUGGUGCUGUUUUGGGAGGCUGGGAAAACUUUUGGGAUGUGGUAAGCAUUGGCUGGAUGAGGUAGGCCACAGAGGACAUGCUUUUAAGGUGAUGGCUCAGCCCUGCUUCCAGUCCUGUUUUCUGCUUUGUGAUCUCCCAGGAUGUAAGGAGCUGAUGUCCCAUACCCCCACUACAACUAAUAAACUCAUCUCAGCUGCUGUGGUUCACUGUAUCCUCUGAAAUUGGGAGCCAAAAUGCCAGCCCCCUCCCCCAUCAGUCGCCACAGGGAGCAUAACAAUACUCUUGUGGAAAUCAAUUGAUUGAUCAUCCAUGUGAGUCCUGACAUCCCAAAUGCGCCCCUUAGCCUCUCCUCACUCCACUGCCACCUCAGCAGUGUGACUCCCACAAGAAGGUGACAAUAGGUACUUGAGCAUCUCUCAACUAGACUGUCAUGGCCUGCAGAGUGUAGGCCCCUACAGCAGGUACAGGGUUCAGAGUCAGUGUGGAUCCACAGGUGUAUUUCUCCUCACACAUCUGUUCCCACUCCUCAGUUUUCCCUGUCAUCAGCCACACUGUGAGGAACCUUGAUAGUCUUAGCUCCAACCUCGUUCAUUCACUACACACACGCACACGCACACACACACACACCACACACACACGCACACACACAUACACACACACAUAAACACACACAUGCACACACACACUCGCGCACACACACCACACACACAUGCACACACAUGCACACACAUGCACACACACGCACACACACGCACACACUCGCACACACACACACACACACACAGAGAGAGAGAGAGAGAGAGAGAGAGACAGAGAGAGAGAGAGAGAGAGAGAGAGAGAGAGAGAGAGAGAGAGAUUUCGUUCUCCAGACCCCAGUUGCUUCUGGUCCCAAUUAUUUUAAUCCUUAUGCCUUCUCCCACUGAGUUCCUGGUCAGGAGGAGCCUCACUUCCCCACUCUGCCCUGCAUUUCCAGAGCAGCUUGGUUGUCACCUCCUCGGUGAUGGCUGUGGAUUGUCCCCAGGACUGUGCCCCAGAAGCAGAGCUGUGUCUUUCCUACAUGCUGUGCAUCCCUGCCGUUUAUUGCUCUGACAGCCACAUGGAUGACUGUACUGAUACCCGUCCUCGGAACCAGCCCAAUCCCCCUGUCAUGAUGUCAUGCCUCUUACGCUGUAGUGGGUGGUGACCCUACAAAACACUCAGCCCAGGAGAUCUCUCAGGCUUCUCAUCUUGGUUGUGCCAGUUUCUCCCCUUGGACAUGAGGCACUUGAGGACAGGGACUGUCCUCUUUCCACCUUUGCAGCCCCAGCCGGAACCUGGCACACAGCAGGUGCCGAUAAAUAUUUGCUAAAUAAAGGAAUGCAUGACUUCAAACUCGGCUUUUAAAGUUCUGCAGCCCUUGGAAAAUUCCACAGUUUAUGCAGCUGCUCCUGUCCUCUGUACAAAUAGGCACUUUAUCAAUCCAAGGCUGGCAGCAGAUCUGCUGAGCCUAACUCAAGCCUCGGGCUCCUUCCCAGAGCAGUCCCUCCACUCAAACGGGGCUGCAUCUGCCUCCCUUGAUAGGUGCUUCUGCCAGGAGCCAGGAAAAGCUUGAUGCAUGCCUCCCCUUCCCAAUGCUAUUUUCAAAGCAACUCAGAAGCAAUCGUGAUAUUUUUUGCCCUUAAGAACAAGACAACUCCUUUGACAUAAUAAGGUUAAAAAAGAAACUGAAAAAAAAAAGAAAGAAAGAAAAAGAAAGAAAAAAACUCUGCACUGCAUUUCCUUUCAGCUGGGUGGAAAAACCCAAUCUCCAGUUCCAGCUGGCAGGCUGUUGGACUCUCGCUUCUGAGGAGAAGGGGAGCGGAAAGAUCAGCCCUGUGCAGCUGAGGACUUAUUUUUGGCUGUGCAGCUGGUGAGGAGUUGCUGGCAGCAGGCAGCAUCUCCUCAGCACCGAGGCAGGGGCAUGACACUGCAUGGACAGAAGAGCCCUCUUUGGGGCUGGGUACCACACUCUCCUGUUGGCAACACUGACAGGUUGGAAUGAUUCUGGGCAAAGGACUCCAAUGGGUGACCUCUGGGUCCGAGGGACUUGAGGUUCCCUCGGGAGAAAGGGACGUUUACUGAAACAAUGGCUUCAGGAAUCCCCCCUAUUGCCCUUGAGGACAGUCCUGGGCUGAAAGAGCAGCAGUACUAAAGCAACAUGGGAACAGUGGUAUUUACCUUCAGUGAUAUAGCCUCUUCUGCUCUAAGCUCUACCAACUGGGAAAUGAGAACCCGCUGAGCUGCCCCAUCUCUGUCUUUGAGAAGUGGCGUUUCCUUUUACAGCUCCUGCCACUUGAUGGCUGUGCUUUUGCCAAGGAUGUCGAGUCACACAGAUUCACACAUGUGAUUUCCACGGAGCCCUGAUGAGCAGUGUGGACAAGCCAGCAUACAUUUGAGCAUAACCCACCUGGACAGCCAUGUAAAGACCGACAGAAACAGGAAUCUCUAUGAAGUGCCCUGUUCAACUUCAACCUGGGACUAUAUGUUUCAGACCACCUUGUUCUUAUUUUAUUUUAUUGCCUCUUUAUAGCAAUAAAAUAAUUUAUAAAUAAAAUAAAAUGGACUGUC